RNAcentral lists this ribosomal RNA (484 nucleotides) under uncultured bacterium. RNAcentral describes it as "partial 16S ribosomal RNA". It matches the Rfam family "Bacterial small subunit ribosomal RNA", at positions 28 to 507 of the family's 1533-position model. The record is from RNAcentral.
GAUUAACGCUAGCGGCAGGCCUAAUACAUGCAAGUUGAACGGCAACACAGGUAGCAAUACUGGCUGGCGAGUGGCGCACGGGUGCGUAACACGUAUGCAACCUACCCUAUACAGACGAAUAACCUUUAGAAAUGAGGGCUAAUACGCCGUAGUAUUACAGAAGGGCAUCUAUUUGUAAUUAAAGAUUUAUCGGUAUAGGAUGGGCAUGCGUUCCAUUAGUUAGUUGGUAAGGUAACGGCUUACCAAGACGAUGAUGGGUAGGUGAUCGGAGAGGACGUACCACUGCACCGGUACUGCGACACGGACCAGAAUGGGACGGAAGGCAGGAGUAAGGAACACUGUGCGAUGGAGGCGAGGCGGACCAAGCCAUGCCGCGUGCAGGAAGACGGCCUUAUGGGUUGUAAGCUGCUUUUAUACGGGAAUAAUAGAGUGUACGCGUACAUUUAUGCAAGUAUCGUAUGAAUAAGCAUCGGCUAACUCCGUG